This 253-nucleotide ribosomal RNA is filed under the name uncultured bacterium. RNAcentral's name for it is "partial 16S ribosomal RNA". It matches the Rfam family "Bacterial small subunit ribosomal RNA", at positions 524 to 776 of the family's 1533-position model. The record is from RNAcentral.
UACGGAGGGCGCAAGCGUUGUUCGGAAUUACUGGGCGUAAAGCGCACGUAGGCGGCUUUGUAAGUCAGAGGUGAAAGCCCGGGGCUCAACCCCGGAACUGCCUUUGAUACUGCAUGGCUCGAGUCCGGAAGAGGUGAGUGGAAUUCCUAGUGUAGAGGUGAAAUUCGUAGAUAUUAGGAAGAACACCAGUGGCGAAGGCGGCUCACGGGUCCGGCACUGACUCUGAGGUGCGAAAGCGUGGGGAGCAAACAGG